UCUAAAUAAAGUGUUGAGAAUAAACUCGUUAAAUUUCAAGAAAAAGUCUAAAUAAAGUGGUGAGAAUAAACUCAUUAAAUUUUAAGAAAAAGUCUAAAUAAAGUGGUGAGAAUAAACUCAUUAAAUUUUAAGAGAAAAGUCUAAAUAAAGUGUUGAGAAUAAACUCGUUAAAUUUCAAGAAAAACUCUGAAUAAAGUGUUGAGAAUAAACUCGUUAAAUUUUAAGAGAAAAGUCUAAAUAAAGUGUUGAGAAUAAACUCGUUAAAUUUCAAGAAAAAAGUCAAAAUAAAGUGUUGAGAAUAAACUCGUUAAAUUUCAAGAAAAAAGUCAAAAUAAAGUGUUGAGAAUAAACUCGUUAAAUUUCAGGAAAAAAAUCUAAAUAAAGUGUUGAGAAUAAACUUGUUAAAUUUCAAGAAAAAAGUCAAAAUAAAGUGUUGAGAAUAAACUCGUUAAAUUUCAAGAGAAAGGUCUAAAUAAAGUGUUGAAAAUAAAC
Molecule: long non-coding RNA, 492 nt
Organism: Cyprinus carpio carpio
Lineage: Eukaryota; Metazoa; Chordata; Actinopteri; Cypriniformes; Cyprinidae
Source: Ensembl